AGAUUGAACGCUGGCGGAAUGCUUUACACAUGCAAGUCGAACGGCAGCACGGGACUCAGGCAACUGAGCCCUGGUGGCGAGUGGCGAACGGGUGAGUAACAUAUCGGAACGUACCCAGUCGUGGGGGAUAACUCUCCGAAAGGAGAGCUAAUACCGCAUACGUCCUGAGGGAGAAAGCGGGGGACCUGCAAGGGCCUCGCGCGAUUGGAGCGGCCGAUAUCGGAUUAGCUAGUUGGUGGGGUAAAGGCUCACCAAGGCGACGAUCCGUAGCGGGUCUGAGAGGACGACCCGCCACACUGGAACUGAGACACGGUCCAGACUCCUACGGGAGGCAGCAGUGGGGAAUUUUGGACAAUGGGGGCAACCCUGAUCCAGCCAUUCCGCGUGAGUGAAGAAGGCCUGGGUUGUAAG
This 411-nucleotide ribosomal RNA is filed under the name uncultured soil bacterium. RNAcentral describes it as "bacterial SSU rRNA". It matches the Rfam family "Bacterial small subunit ribosomal RNA", at positions 26 to 429 of the family's 1533-position model. The record is from RNAcentral.